Molecule: ribosomal RNA, 1480 nt
Filed under: uncultured prokaryote
Description: partial 16S ribosomal RNA
Rfam family: Bacterial small subunit ribosomal RNA
Source: RNAcentral
GCUUAGAGUUUGAUCCUGGCUCAGAAUGAACGCUGGCGGCGUGCUUAACACAUGCAAGUCGAACGAGAAAGCACUUCGGUGUGAGUAUAGUGGCGCACGGGUGAGUAACACGUGGGUAACCUGCCCUAUUGUGGGGGAUAACUCGGAGAAAUUCGAGCUAAUACCGCAUAAGUUGGUAACAAGAAAGGAUGCUUCGGCAUUCGCGAUAGGAUGGGCCCGCGCUACAUUAGCUUGAUGGUGGGGUAAUGGCCUACCAUGGCAACGAUGUAUAGCUGGUCUGAGAGGAUGAUCAGCCACACUGGAACUGAGACACGGUCCAGACUCUACGGGAGGCAGCAGUGGGGAAUAUUGCGCAAUGGAGGAAACUCUGAGCAGCAACGCCGCGUGAGUGAGGAAGGCUUUCGGGUCGUAAAGCUCUGUCAAAUGGGAAGAACCGUAGUUGGUCUAAUAGCCUUCUGCCUGACGGUACCAUUAAAGGAAGCACCGGCUAACUUCGUGCCAGCAGCCGCGUAAUACGAAGGGUGCAAGCGUUAUUCGGAUUUAUUGGGCGUAAAGCGCGCGCAGGCGGAUAAUUAAGCCAGAUGUGAAAUCUCGGGGCUCAACCCCGAAACUGCGUCUGGAACUGAUAAUCUAGAGUCUUAGAGGGGGGAGCGGAAUUUCGCAUGUAGGGGUAAAAUCCGUAGAGAUGCGAAGGAACACCAGAGGCGAAGGCGCCUUCCUGGCAUGUAUUGACGCUGAGGCGCGAAAGCGUGGGGAGCAAACAGGAUUAGAUACCCUGGUAGUCCACGCCGUAAACGAUGAGUACUAGAUAUGGUGGGUUUAACCCCUUCCGUGUCGCAGCUAACGCAUUAAGUGCACCGCCUGGGAAGUACGGUCGCAAGACUAAAACUCAAAGGAAUUGACGGGGGCCCACAAGCGGUGGAUUAUGUGGUUUAAUUCGAAGCAACGCGCAGAACCUUACCCGGGCUUGAACUCCUGAGAAUCUCGACCAAAAUUGAGAGUCGUCUCGGGGAAUUCAGUGAAGGCGCUGCAUGGCUGUCGUCAGCUCGUGUCGUGAGAUGUUGGGUUAAGUCUCGCAACGAGCGCAACCCCUAUCUUUAGUUGCCAGUAUUAAGUUAGGCACUCUAGAGAGACUGCCUGGGUUAACCAGGAGGAAGGUGGGGAUGACGUCAAGUCCUCAUGGCCCUUAUGUCCGGGGCUACACACGUAAUACAAUGGUGCAUACAAUGAGACGCGAUCCUGCGAAGGUCAGCAAAUCUCAAAAAGUGCAUCUCAGUCCGGAUUGAAGUCUGCAACUCGACUUCAUGAAGUUGGAAUCGCUAGUAAUCGGAGAUCAGCACGCUCCGGUGAAUACGUUCCCGGGCCUUGUACACACCGCCCGUCACACCAUGGGAGUUGAUCUUACCCGAAGCGGGGAUGCUAAAGUAGCUACCCUCCACAGUGGAUUCAGCGACUGGGGUGAAGUCGUAACAAGGUAACC